AGCUCUGCACAGUGGCAGUAUCGUAGCCAAUGAGGUUUAUCCAAGGCGCGAUUAUUGCUAAUUGAAAAAUAUUUUCCCCAAUGCCCCAGACGACUUGAAAUAUUUCGGCCAUUGUUAAUUUUUGACAGUCUCUAUGGAAG
This 140-nucleotide small nuclear RNA is filed under the name Aotus nancymaae (Ma's night monkey). RNAcentral describes it as "U4 spliceosomal RNA (ENSANAG00000002202.1)". It matches the Rfam family "U4 spliceosomal RNA". Rfam says of the family: U4 small nuclear RNA (U4 snRNA) is a component of the major U2-dependent spliceosome. Lineage: Eukaryota; Metazoa; Chordata; Mammalia; Primates; Aotidae. The record is from Rfam by way of RNAcentral.